This 241-nucleotide unclassified non-coding RNA is filed under the name uncultured fungus. RNAcentral's name for it is "partial contains 5.8S ribosomal RNA, internal transcribed spacer 2, and large subunit ribosomal RNA". Lineage: Eukaryota; Fungi. The record is from RNAcentral.
AACGCACAUUGCGCCCGCCAGCAUCCUGGCGGGCAUGCCUGUUCGAGCGUCAUUGCAACCCUCAGGCUCGGCCUGGUGUUGGGGUCCUGCGCCACGCAGACCCCGGAAGACAGCGGCGGCGCCGCCUCCGGCCCCGAGCGUAGUAGCUUACCCCGCUCUGGGUGCCGGGCGGCCGCCCGCCGGAAAACAACCCCUCUUCGUGGUUGACCUCGGAUCAGGUAGGAAUACCCGCUGAACUUAA